RNAcentral lists this ribosomal RNA (172 nucleotides) under uncultured bacterium. Its description in RNAcentral is "partial 16S ribosomal RNA". It matches the Rfam family "Bacterial small subunit ribosomal RNA", at positions 1321 to 1500 of the family's 1533-position model. The record is from RNAcentral.
CGAAGCUGGAUUCGCUAGUAAUCGCGCAUCAGCCACGGCGCGGUGAAUACGUUCCCGGGCCUUGUACACACCGCCCGUCAAGCCAUGGGAGCCGGGGGUACCUGAAGUGCGUAACCGCGAGGAGCGCCCUAGGGUAAAACUGGUGACUGGGGCUAAGUCGUAACAAGGUAGC